AAAUUGAAGAGUUUGAUCAUGGCUCAGAUUGAACGCUGGCGGCAGGCCUAACACAUGCAAGUCGAACGGUAACAGGAAGCAGCUUGCUGCUUUGCUGACGAGUGGCGGACGGGUGAGUAAUGUCUGGGAAACUGCCUGAUGGAGGGGGAUAACUACUGGAAACGGUAGCUAAUACCGCAUAACGUCGCAAGACCAAAGAGGGGGACCUUCGGGCCUCUUGCCAUCGGAUGUGCCCAGAUGGGAUUAG
RNAcentral lists this ribosomal RNA (247 nucleotides) under Escherichia coli. RNAcentral's name for it is "partial 16S ribosomal RNA". It matches the Rfam family "Bacterial small subunit ribosomal RNA", at positions 1 to 244 of the family's 1533-position model. Lineage: Bacteria; Pseudomonadati; Pseudomonadota; Gammaproteobacteria; Enterobacterales; Enterobacteriaceae. The record is from RNAcentral.